This 465-nucleotide ribosomal RNA is filed under the name uncultured bacterium. RNAcentral's name for it is "partial 16S ribosomal RNA". It matches the Rfam family "Bacterial small subunit ribosomal RNA", at positions 28 to 507 of the family's 1533-position model. The record is from RNAcentral.
GACGAACGCUGGCGGCGUGCUUAACACAUGCAAGUCGAACGGAAAGGCCCUGCUUGCAGGGUACUCGAGUGGCGAACGGGUGAGUAACACGUGGGUGAUCUGCCCUGCACUUCGGGAUAAGCCUGGGAAACUGGGUCUAAUACCGGAUAGGAGCCAUUUUUAGUGUGAUGGUUGGAAAGUUUUUUCGGUGUAGGAUGAGCUCGCGGCCUAUCAGCUUGUUGGUGGGGUAAUGGCCUACCAAGGCGGCGACGGGUAGCCGGCCUGAGAGGGUGGACGGCCACAGGGGGAUGGAAAGAGGCCCCGGCCCCCGGGGGGGGGAGGAGGGGGGGAAAUUUGAAGAGGGGGGGAAGGCUGGGGGCGGCGCGGCCGGGGGGGGGAGGACGCCUUCGGGUUGGAAACCUCUUUUCGAGAGGGAAAAGGUUUUUUGGGAGGGUCCCAAAAAAAAAAGCCCGGCCAAACUAGGUC